UUGCUUGGACCAGUAUAAGCAAGCCAGGGCAAACAUUUAGGCUACAUUGUGGGAGCUAUGAACAUAAAGUACACUGAUUUCUUUAUUACGGCUAGCAGAUAUUUAAGAAUGUUAGCACGGGUCUUUGAAUAAAUUUUGCUUCUAAGAGAAGUUACUAUUUAUUCCUAAUUAGAUGGGGAGGAAAGUCUUUGAAGAGGAACCUCUACUUUACUUUUUACAAUAGGUUGAACUUUGGGAUGUCUGACCAAAUGUUUUCCGUCUCACCACUCAGAGUGGCCACAUGCCAGUUGCAAAGAAUAAGAUUAUAUUCAUGAGCAAGUCAGAAUCUGUCCUGUGAUAAAUGCCUGGGGGAUGAAGGUCAGCAUCUGCUCUGUCAUUUGAAUUUGAUAUUAGAAAAUUUAAAUCUGAAAAGAGAAUCUCGAAGUGGGUAUCAGAAGAAGAGAAGAUGUGAGGGACAAAAGGAUAGGAUCUACAGUGCUGUUACAUCCUCACUGGCAUCAACAAUUUAGACUCAUCUCUAUAUCCAUGUGUAACUUGUUACAGUCUGCAGUCAUAAGCUGGCCUCAACACACUGAAGUAUAUUCAGCAUUAUAAACACACUGAAACACCAAAAAGGCUGAGAUGCACAUAAUUUGAAGAGUGAAAAUGGCUCGAGAGCAUGAAGUCUCAUUAUCUGUAGGUUCUCACCUCACUGAAGCAAGACUGGUAAAUAAGUUUUGAAGAUGAAGAUAAAACAGAAUAAAUUAAGGAAGAAAAAAAAGAAGAGGAAAAUCUCCCAAACUGGCCUGUCUUCAAUGUUCCUUUGAACUGUCUCUCCUACUGCACUCUUUACAUUUUAAUGACUUGAGUGUUUACCAUUUAUGCAGGAACAUACCCUUAAUGUGCUCAGAAGUGAUGCGUACCUUCUAUACAUGAGACAGACCACCCAGCAAAAUACCAAUCCAGCUUAGGGUCUGUGAAGUAUUAUCCAUUUGUCUAAAAUGUACUGUACUAAACCUUAUAAUACUUUGUUAGCUGGUUAUGUCAAAUUCUCAUUGUAAUAUAAAGAUUUAAGUAAAAUAUGAACAAAUUGACAAUAUCCAAUACCAAAAGGCCAUAAAAACCUUUUUCAGAAAUAUAACAGACUUACAGCCUUGCGUAGGUCAGCAAAAAUGGUAUGUACCAGAGCAUAGUUAUGAAAAUUUAAAGAAGUGUAUAUUUCUUCAUUUAUUCUGUACCCGUUCAACAUUGUGACAAGCAUAACAGAUUUACAAUUCUUACAUACUUUUUGCUAUAUUUCCCCUCUCAAUAUGAUGUCAUUCCAUUUUUUUUUACAAUUUUUACAAAUGAAGACAGAGGCAGCUUAUUAAGACCAACUACUCCCAGGUUUAUUUGUGAAGAAAGUAAGACUCACCUGUGCAGGUCCAGAAAUGUUUUAUUUUUCACAGAAGCAUUAAAUUUUGGUACUAAUGGGAACAAGAAAGAUUAUCUCACCUUGUCAGUUAUUAGAUGCAGCAAUACUAAAACAAAUUUAAACUGGAAGAUUUCCUUCUCAGGGUUAUAACAAAUACUAAAUUAGGUUAUGUGUUUUGUUGUUCAGAGGCAUACAAAUAUUUGUAUAUAAUCAUUAGGGUGCUGGCAUUGAUGGGAUUAAUUAUGCAUAUUACAUUACUUAAUCAUCUUCACAUGUGAAUCUAUUAAAAUGAUAUAAAUUGAAAUAAUAUUAAACAUAAUGCUGGAUGUGAGCAGCGAGCAUCAAAGUAGAGGAAUCGGAUGCAUAUAUGUGUGUAUAAAUGUAUGUGAAUUCAUAUGUAUACACAUACACACAAAGAGAGGAGUUGGUAAGAGACAGAGAAA
Molecule: long non-coding RNA, 1836 nt
Filed under: Homo sapiens (human)
Lineage: Eukaryota; Metazoa; Chordata; Mammalia; Primates; Hominidae
Description: HSALNT0318908
Source: RNAcentral